GUCAGGAUGGCCGAGCGGUCUAAGGCGCCAGACUCAAGGUUACACCUUGGCCUGCAAUGCAGGUCGAAUCGAGCAUUCUGGUCCUCAUCUGAGGGCGUGGGUUCGAAUCCCACUUCUGACA
RNAcentral lists this transfer RNA (121 nucleotides) under Acyrthosiphon pisum (pea aphid). It matches the Rfam family "tRNA". From Rfam's summary of the family: Transfer RNA (tRNA) molecules are approximately 80 nucleotides in length. Their secondary structure includes four short double-helical elements and three loops (D, anti-codon, and T loops). Lineage: Eukaryota; Metazoa; Arthropoda; Insecta; Hemiptera; Aphididae. The record is from Rfam by way of RNAcentral.